RNAcentral lists this ribosomal RNA (252 nucleotides) under uncultured bacterium. RNAcentral describes it as "partial 16S ribosomal RNA". It matches the Rfam family "Bacterial small subunit ribosomal RNA", at positions 524 to 776 of the family's 1533-position model. The record is from RNAcentral.
UACGUAGGCAGCAAGCGUUGUUCGGAGUUACUGGGCGUAAAGCGUGCGCAGGCGGUUCGCUGUGUCCUGUGUGAAAGCCCCGGGCUUAACCUGGGAAUGGCAUGGGAAACUGGCGGGCUGGAGUGUGGCAGAGGGGGUGGAAUUCCGCGUGUAGCAGUGAAAUGCGUAGAGAUGCGGAGGAACACCGAUGGCGAAGGCAGCCCCCUGGGCUAACACUGACGCUCAGGCACGAAAGCGUGGGGAGCAAACAGG